This 893-nucleotide ribosomal RNA is filed under the name uncultured marine bacterium. RNAcentral describes it as "bacterial SSU rRNA". It matches the Rfam family "Bacterial small subunit ribosomal RNA", at positions 60 to 949 of the family's 1533-position model. The record is from RNAcentral.
AGUCGAGCGAGAAAGUAUCUUCGGAUAUGAGUAGAGCGGCGGACGGGUGAGUAACGCGUAGGAAUCUACCUGGUAGAAGGGGAUAGCCCGGGGAAACUCGGAUUAAUACCGUAUACCUCCUUAGGGAGAAAGAGGGCCUCUCUUGAAGCUCUCGCUAUUAGAUGAGCCUGCGUAAGAUUAGCUUGUUGGUAAGGUAAUGGCUUACCAAGGCUACGAUCUUUAGCUGGUCUGAGAGGACGAUCAGCCACAUUGGGACUGAGACACGGCCCAGACUCCUACGGGAGGCAGCAGUGGGGAAUAUUGGACAAUGGGCGCAAGCCUGAUCCAGCCAUACCGCGUGUGUGAAGAAGGCCUUCGGGUUGUAAAGCACUUUAAGCAGGGAGAAAAAGCAAUAAGUUAAUACCUUGUUGCCGUGAUGUUACCUGCAGAAUAAGCACCGGCUAAUUCCGUGCCAGCAGCCGCGGUAAUACGGAAGGUGCAAGCGUUAAUCGGAAUUACUGGGCGUAAAGCGCGCGUAGGUGGUUUGUUAAGUUGGAUGUGAAAGCCUUGGGCUCAACCUAGGAUCUGCAUCCAAAACUAACUCACUAGAGUACGAUAGAGGGAGGUAGAAUUCAUAGUGUAGCGGUGGAAUGCGUAGAUAUUAUGAAGAAUACCAGUGGCGAAGGCGGCCUCCUGGAUCUGUACUGACACUAAGGUGCGAAAGCGUGGGUAGCGAACAGGAUUAGAUACCCUGGUAGUCCACGCCGUAAACGAUGACAACUAGCUGUUGGGAGACAAUGUCUUUCAGUGGCGCAGCUAACGUUUUAAGUUGUCCGCCUGGGGAGUACGGCCGCAAGGCUAAAACUCAAAUGAAUUGACGGGGACCCGCACAAGCGGUGGAGCAUGUGGUUUAA